This 492-nucleotide ribosomal RNA is filed under the name uncultured bacterium. Its description in RNAcentral is "partial 16S ribosomal RNA". It matches the Rfam family "Bacterial small subunit ribosomal RNA", at positions 29 to 507 of the family's 1533-position model. The record is from RNAcentral.
AGUGAACGCUGGCGGUAGGCCUAACACAUGCAAGUCGAACGGCAGCACAGUAAGAGCUUGCUCUUACGGGUGGCGAGUGGCGGACGGGUGAGGAAUACAUCGGAAUCUACUUUUUCGUGGGGGAUAACGUAGGGAAACUUACGCUAAUACCGCAUACGACCUACGGGUGAAAGCAGGGGAUCUUCGGACCUUGCGCGAUUGAAUGAGCCGAUGUCGGACUAGCUAGUUGGCGGGGUAAAGGCCCACCAAGGCGACGAUCCGUAGCUGGUCUGAGAGGAUGAUCAGCCACACUGGAACUGAGACACGGUCCAGACUCCUACGGGAGGCAGCAGUGGGGAAUAUUAGACAAUGGGCGCAAGCCUGAUCCAGCCAUACCGCGUGGGUGAAGAAGGCCUUCGGGUUGUAAAGCCCUUUUGUUGGGAAAAAAAAGCAGCAGGUUAAUACCCCGCUGUUCUGACGGUACCCAAAGAAUAAGCACCGGCUAACUUCGUG